UAGGGAAUAUUGGACAAUGGGGGCAACCCUGAUCCAGCCAUGCCGCGUGAGUGAAGAAGGCCCUCGGGUUGUAAAGCUCUUUUGUCCGGAAAGAAAAGCAUUCGGUGAAUACCCGGAUGUUCUGACGGUACCGGAAGAAUAAGCACCGGCUAACUUCGUGCCCGCAGCCGCGGUAAUACGAAGGGUGCAAGCGUUACUCGGAAUUACUGGGCGUAAAGCGUGCGUAGGUGGUUGUUUAAGUCUGAUGUGAAAGCCCUGGGCUCAACCUGGGAAUGGCAUUGGAAACUGGGCAGCUAGAGUGCGGUAGAGGGUAGUGGAAUUCCCGGUGUAGCAGUGAAAUGCGUAGAGAUCGGGAGGAACAUCUGUGGCGAAGGCGACUGCCUGGACCAGCACUGACACUGAGGCACGAAAGCGUGGGGAGCAAACA
RNAcentral lists this ribosomal RNA (427 nucleotides) under uncultured bacterium. RNAcentral describes it as "bacterial SSU rRNA". It matches the Rfam family "Bacterial small subunit ribosomal RNA", at positions 355 to 774 of the family's 1533-position model. The record is from RNAcentral.